GUGGGGAAUAUUGGGCAAUGGGGGAAACCCUGACCCAGCGACGCCGCGUGAGGGAAGAAGGCCUUAGGGUCGUAAACCUCUGUUGUGUGGGAAGAAGAGCGUGACGGUACCACACGAGGAAGUCCCGGCUAACUACGUGCCAGCAGCCGCGGUAAUACGUAGGGGACGAGCGUUGUCCGGAUUUACUGGGCGUAAAGGGCGCGUAGGCGGUCAUUUAAGUCAGCUGUGAAAUGGUGCGGCUUAACCGCAUCAUGCGGUUGAAACUGGAUGACUGGAGUGCUGGAGAGGCAAGUGGAAUUCCCAGUGUAGCGGUGAAAUGCGUAGAUAUUGGGAAGAACACCGGUGGCGAAGGCGACUUGCUGGCCAGCAACUGACGCUGAGGCGCGAAAGCCAGGGGAGCAAACGGGAUUAGAUACCCUAGUAGUCC
Molecule: ribosomal RNA, 427 nt
Filed under: uncultured bacterium
Lineage: Bacteria
Description: partial 16S ribosomal RNA
Rfam family: Bacterial small subunit ribosomal RNA
Source: RNAcentral